Molecule: long non-coding RNA, 224 nt
Organism: Neogale vison (American mink)
Lineage: Eukaryota; Metazoa; Chordata; Mammalia; Carnivora; Mustelidae
Exons: 3
Source: RefSeq, a predicted model, not a curated record
GCAGAAGCUGGCACCCUCACAGGACGGCCAACAGGAGGGAAACCGCAGAUCUGGAAAAAGGGAAACACAAGAAGAUGUCUCAACUAGCCUGUCACGGUUGAGAAACAUGGAAUGAAGUUGACUCACGUCAGUGGUCUCUGCCAAGGCUAUCCUGGAUCAGCCUAGACUAGUCAGGCCGUGAGAUAGAAGUCUAUUGACUGCAGGGCAAGGGAACAGCAGGCAGG